GGGGCGUUAGCUCAGCUGGUCAGAGCAGAAGACUCAUAAUCUUUUGGUCGCGGGUUCAAGCCCCGCACGCCCCACCA
RNAcentral lists this transfer RNA (77 nucleotides) under Actinocorallia glomerata. RNAcentral describes it as "tRNA-Met". It matches the Rfam family "tRNA". From Rfam's summary of the family: Transfer RNA (tRNA) molecules are approximately 80 nucleotides in length. Their secondary structure includes four short double-helical elements and three loops (D, anti-codon, and T loops). Further hydrogen bonds mediate the characteristic L-shaped molecular structure. tRNAs have two regions of fundamental functional importance: the anti-codon, which is responsible for specific mRNA codon recognition, and the 3' end, to which the tRNAs corresponding amino acid is attached (by aminoacyl-tRNA synthetases). tRNAs cope with the degeneracy of the genetic code in two manners: having more than one tRNA (with a specific anti-codon) for a particular amino acid; and 'wobble' base-pairing, i.e. permitting non-standard base-pairing at the 3rd anti-codon position. RNAcentral also lists the same sequence under 6 other names. The record is from RNAcentral. Lineage: Bacteria; Bacillati; Actinomycetota; Actinomycetes; Streptosporangiales; Thermomonosporaceae.